GAGUUUUGAGAUGGAAUGAAUUUAUUUUAAAUGUCAGAAAGACAUGAGUUUGGGGACGGGCAGGGGCAGAAUGGUGUGGUACAAUGUUUGUGUCCCUUCAAAAUUCAUAUUGAAACCUAAUCACCAUUGUGUUGGUAUUAAGAGGUGCAACCCAGCCAGACGUGGUGGCUCACGCCUGUAAUCCCAGCACUUUGGAAGGCCGAGGCAGGCGGAUCACCUUAGGUCAGGAGUUUGAGACCAGCCUCGCCAAUAUGGCAAAACCCCAUCUCUACUAAAAGUACAAAAAUUAGGUGGGUGUGGUGGCAGGUGCCUGUAAUUCUGGCUACUCAGGAGGCUGAGGCAGGAGAAUAGCUUGAACCCAGGAGGAGGAGGAGGCUGCAGUGGGCUGAGAUGUCGCCACUGCACUCCAGCCUGGGUGACAAGAGCGAGACUUCAUGUCAAAAAAAAAAAAAAGAGGUGCAUCCCUUUGGGAGGCACCCCUCAUGAAUGUGAUUCAUGCCUUUAUGAAAGAGACUGAAGGGAAUGUCUUCGCCUCUUUAGGUCUUUCCAGAGACACAUAGAAGGUGCCAUCUAUGAGGAACAGGCCUUCACCAGACAUCAAAUCUGUUGGCAUCUUGAUCUUUGACUUCUCCACCGCCAGAACUAGAUCAAGACAUGAAAUCCAUGUUCAAGAUACUUUCCAGUGUGUCUUCAUGUGAUCCUCUGAGUCCAGCCAUCAGGCUACCAGCAGCUCUUGGAAACCCUGACAUACUUAUUCUUAGAAGACUGCUUUCCGGACUCAAAGUGGAACCUCAAAUUUUCAAUUUUCUUUGUUUUUAAAGCCUACACAUAGGUGAUGAUAUAUACAUGCAUAUAUAUUUUGGAGAAUUCAUAAUUCUGAAAACAAUGCUG
Molecule: long non-coding RNA, 891 nt
Filed under: Pan troglodytes (chimpanzee)
Lineage: Eukaryota; Metazoa; Chordata; Mammalia; Primates; Hominidae
Description: long non-coding RNA NONPTRT017280
Source: RNAcentral